GAAUGCUGACAUAAGUAACGAUAAAGCGGGUGAAAAGCCCGCUCGCCGGAAGACCAAGGGUUCCUGUCCAACGUUAAUCGGGGCAGGGUGAGUCGACCCCUAAGGCGAGGCCGAAAGGCGUAGUCGAUGGGAAACGGGUUAAUAUUCCCGUACUUGGUGUUACUGCGAAGGGGGGACGGAGAAGGCUAUGUUGGCCGGGCGACGGUUGUCCCGGUUUAAGCGUGUAGGUGUGUGUUCCAGGUAAAUCCGGUUCACUUUAACACUGAGGCGUGACGACGAGGCACUACGGUGCUGAAGCAACAAAUGCCCUGCUUCCAGGAAAAGCCUCUAAGCAUCAGGUAACAUCAAAUCGUACCCCAAACCGACACAGGUGGUCAGGUAGAGAAUACCAAGGCGCUUGAGAGAACUCGGGUGAAGGAACUAGGCAAAAUGGUGCCGUAACUUCGGGAGAAGGCACGCUGACACGUAGGUGAAGUGAUUUACUCAUGGAGCUGAAGUCAGUCGAAGAUACCAGCUGGCUGCAACUGUUUAUUAAAAACACAGCACUGUGCAAACACGAAAGUGGACGUAUACGGUGUGACGCCUGCCCGGUGCCGGAAGGUUAAUUGAUGGGGUCAGCGCAAGCGAAGCUCCUGAUCGAAGCCCCGGUAAACGGCGGCCGUAACUAUAACGGUCCUAAGGUAGCGAAAUUCCUUGUCGGGUAAGUUCCGACCUGCACGAAUGGCGUAAUGAUGGCCAGGCUGUCUCCACCCGAGACUCAGUGAAAUUGAACUCGCUGUGAAGAUGCAGUGUACCCGCGGCAAGACGGAAAGACCCCGUGAACCUUUACUAUAGCUUGACACUGAACAUUGAGCCUUGAUGUGUAGGAUAGGUGGGAGGCUUUGAAGUGUGGACGCCAGUCUGCAUGGAGCCGACCUUGAAAUACCACCCUUUAAUGUUUGAUGUUCUAACGUGGACCCGUUACCCGGGUUGCGGACAGUGUCUGGUGGGUAGUUUGACUGGGGCGGUCUCCUCCUAAAGAGUAACGGAGGAGCACGAAGGUUGGCUAAUCCUGGUCGGACAUCAGGAGGUUAGUGCAAUGGCAUAAGCCAGCUUGACUGCGAGCGUGACGGCGCGAGCAGGUGCGAAAGCAGGUCAUAGUGAUCCGGUGGUUCUGAAUGGAAGGGCCAUCGCUCAACGGAUAAAAGGUACUCCG
This 1195-nucleotide ribosomal RNA is filed under the name Salmonella enterica subsp. enterica serovar Enteritidis. RNAcentral's name for it is "partial 23S ribosomal RNA". It matches the Rfam family "Bacterial large subunit ribosomal RNA", at positions 1292 to 2470 of the family's 2925-position model. Lineage: Bacteria; Pseudomonadati; Pseudomonadota; Gammaproteobacteria; Enterobacterales; Enterobacteriaceae. The record is from RNAcentral.